GACGAACGCGGCGGCGUGCCUAAUACAUGCAAGUAGAACGCUGAAGGGAGAGCUUGCUCUUCUGGAUGAGUUGCGAACGGGUGAGUAACGCGUAGGUAACCUGCCUGGUAGCGGGGGAUAACUAUUGGAAACGAUAGCUAAUACCGCAUAACAUUGACUAUUGCAUGAUAGUUAAUUGAAAGGUGCAAAUGCACCACUACCAGAUGGACCUGCGUUGUAUUAGCUAGUUGGUGGGGUAACGGCUCACCAAGGCGACGAUACAUAGCCGACCUGAGAGGGUGAUCGGCCACACUGGGACUGAGACACGGCCCAGACUCCUACGGGAGGCAGCAGUAGGGAAUCUUCGGCAAUGGACGGAAGUCUGACCGAGCAACGCCGCGUGAGUGAAGAAGGUUUUCGGAUCGUAAAGCUCUGUUGUAAGAGAAGAAACGAGUGUGAGAAGUGGAAAG
This 449-nucleotide ribosomal RNA is filed under the name Streptococcus cristatus. RNAcentral's name for it is "bacterial SSU rRNA". It matches the Rfam family "Bacterial small subunit ribosomal RNA", at positions 28 to 471 of the family's 1533-position model. Lineage: Bacteria; Bacillati; Bacillota; Bacilli; Lactobacillales; Streptococcaceae. The record is from RNAcentral.